GAUUAAGUUAUUAAGGGCGCACGGUGGAUGCCUUGGCACUAGAAGCCGAUGAAGGACGUUACUAACGACGAUAUGCUUUGGGGAGCUGUAAGUAAGCUUUGAUCCAGAGAUUUCCGAAUGGGGAAACCCAACAUGAGUUAUGUCAUGUUAUCGAUAUGUGAAUACAUAGCAUAUCAGAAGGCACACCCGGAGAACUGAAACAUCUUAGUACCCGGAGGAAGAGAAAGAAAAUUCGAUUCCCUUAGUAGCGGCGAGCGAAACGGGAAGAGCCCAAACCAACAAGCUUGCUUGUUGGGGUUGUAGGACACUCUAUACGGAGUUACAAAGGACGACAUUAGACGAAUCAUCUGGAAAGAUGAAUCAAAGAAGGUAAUAAUCCUGUAGUCGAAAAUGUUGUCUCUCUUGAGUGGAUCCUGAGUACGACGGAGCACGUGAAAUUCCGUCGGAAUCUGGGAGGACCAUCUCCUAAGGCUAAAUACUCUCUAGUGACCGAUAGUGAACCAGUACCGUGAGGGAAAGGUGAAAAGCACCCCGGAAGGGGAGUGAAAUAGAACCUGAAACCGUGUGCUUACAAGUAGUCAGAGCCCGUUAAUGGGUGAUGGCGUGCCUUUGUAGAAUGAACCGGCGAGUUACGAUUUGAUGCAAGGUUAAGCAGUAAAUGUGGAGCCGUAGCGAAAGCGAGUCUGAAUAGGGCGUUUAGUAUUUGGUCGUAGACCCGAAACCAGGUGAUCUACCCUUGGUCAGGUUGAAGUUCAGGUAACACUGAAUGGAGGACCGAACCGACUUACGUUGAAAAGUGAGCGGAUGAACUGAGGGUAGCGGAGAAAUUCCAAUCGAACCUGGAGAUAGCUGGUUCUCUCCGAAAUAGCUUUAGGGCUAGCCUCAAGUGAUGAUUAUUGGAGGUAGAGCACUGUUUGGACGAGGGGCCCCUCUCGGGUUACCGAAUUCAGACAAACUCCGAAUGCCAAUUAAUUUAACUUGGGAGUCAGAACAUGGGUGAUAAGGUCCGUGUUCGAAAGGGAAACAGCCCAGACCACCAGCUAAGGUCCCAAAAUAUAUGAAGUGGAAAAGGAUGUGGCGUUGCCCAGACAACUAGGAUGUUGGCUUAGAAGCAGCCAUCAUUUAAAGAGUGCGUAAUAGCUCACUAGUCGAGUGACACUGCGCCGAAAAUGUACCGGGGCUAAACAUAUUACCGAAGCUGUGGAUUGUCCUUUGGACAAUGGUAGGAGAGCGUUCUAAGGGCGUUGAAGCAUGAUCGUAAGGACAUGUGGAGCGCUUAGAAGUGAGAAUGCCGGUGUGAGUAGCGAAAGACGGGUGAGAAUCCCGUCCACCGAUUGACCAAGGUUUCCAGAGGAAGGCUCGUCCGCUCUGGGUUAGUCGGGUCCUAAGCUGAGGCCGACAGGCGUAAGCGAUGGAUAACAGGUUGAUAUUCCUGUACCACCUAUAAUCGUUUUAAUCGAUGGGGGGACGCAGUAGGAUAGGCGAAGCGUGCGAUUGGAUUGCACGUCUAAGCAGUAAGGCUGAGUAUUAGGCAAAUCCGGUACUCGUUAAGGCUGAGCUGUGAUGGGGAGAAGACAUUGUGUCUUCGAGUCGUUGAUUUCACACUGCCGAGAAAAGCCUCUAGAUAGAAAAUAGGUGCCCGUACCGCAAACCGACACAGGUAGUCAAGAUGAGAAUUCUAAGGUGAGCGAGCGAACUCUCGUUAAGGAACUCGGCAAAAUGACCCCGUAACUUCGGGAGAAGGGGUGCUCUUUAGGGUUAACGCCCAGAAGAGCCGCAGUGAAUAGGCCCAAGCGACUGUUUAUCAAAAACACAGGUCUCUGCUAAACCGUAAGGUGAUGUAUAGGGGCUGACGCCUGCCCGGUGCUGGAAGGUUAAGAGGAGUGGUUAGCUUCUGCGAAGCUACGAAUCGAAGCCCCAGUAAACGGCGGCCGUAACUAUAACGGUCCUAAGGUAGCGAAAUUCCUUGUCGGGUAAGUUCCGACCCGCACGAAAGGCGUAACGAUUUGGGCACUGUCUCAACGAGAGACUCGGUGAAAUCAUAGUACCUGUGAAGAUGCAGGUUACCCGCGACAGGACGGAAAGACCCCGUGGAGCUUUACUGUAGCCUGAUAUUGAAAUUCGGCACAGCUUGUACAGGAUAGGUAGGAGCCUUUGAAACGUGAGCGCUAGCUUACGUGGAGGCGCUGGUGGGAUACUACCCUAGCUGUGUUGGCUUUCUAACCCGCACCACUUAUCGUGGUGGGAGACAGUGUCAGGCGGGCAGUUUGACUGGGGCGGUCGCCUCCUAAAAGGUAACGGAGGCGCUCAAAGGUUCCCUCAGAAUGGUUGGAAAUCAUUCAUAGAGUGUAAAGGCAUAAGGGAGCUUGACUGCGAGACCUACAAGUCGAGCAGGGUCGAAAGACGGACUUAGUGAUCCGGUGGUUCCGCAUGGAAGGGCCAUCGCUCAACGGAUAAAAGCUACCCCGGGGAUAACAGGCUUAUCUCCCCAAGAGUUCACAUCGACGGGGAGGUUUGGCACCUCGAUGUCGGCUCAUCGCAUCCUGGGGCUGUAGUCGGUCCCAAGGGUUGGGCUGUUCGCCCAUUAAAGCGGUACGCGAGCUGGGUUCAGAACGUCGUGAGACAGUUCGGUCCCUAUCCGUCGUGGGCGUAGGAAAUUUGAGAGGAGCUGUCCUUAGUACGAGAGGACCGGGAUGGACAUACCUCUGGUGUACCAGUUGUCGUGCCAACGGCAUAGCUGGGUAGCUAUGUGUGGACGGGAUAAGUGCUGAAAGCAUCUAAGCAUGAAGCCCCCUCAAGAUGAGAUUUCCCAACUUCGGUUAUAAGAUCCCUCAAAGAUGAUGAGGUUAAUAGGUUCGAGGUGGAAGCAUGGUGACAUGUGGAGCUGACGAAUACUAAUCGAUCGAAGACUUAAUCAA
This 2918-nucleotide ribosomal RNA is filed under the name Staphylococcus aureus. RNAcentral's name for it is "23S ribosomal RNA". It matches the Rfam family "Bacterial large subunit ribosomal RNA". Lineage: Bacteria; Bacillati; Bacillota; Bacilli; Caryophanales; Staphylococcaceae. The record is from RNAcentral.